GCAAACGAGCGCUUACACGGGUCCUUCGGGGGUCGCGGGGAUGCGUGCAUUUAUCAGACCAAAACCACCGGGACGGGCUCCNNGCCCCGGCCGCUUUGUGACUCUAAUAACUCGGCCGAUGCGCCUCCGCGGCGGCGACGACUCAUUCUAAU
RNAcentral lists this ribosomal RNA (152 nucleotides) under Hypentelium nigricans (northern hog sucker). Its description in RNAcentral is "partial 18S ribosomal RNA". Lineage: Eukaryota; Metazoa; Chordata; Actinopteri; Cypriniformes; Catostomidae. The record is from RNAcentral.